Struthio camelus australis is the source of this 2226-nucleotide long non-coding RNA. NCBI's taxonomy places the organism in Eukaryota, Metazoa, Chordata, Aves, Struthioniformes, Struthionidae. The record is from Ensembl.
CACAUCCAAGUUGUACAAGCACACGCAACCCUCACCAUAGUGAUUCUAGUUAUAAAUCCACCAACUUCAUAUGGGAGACCAGGAGGCAACAGCUUUGGUACCUGAAUAACACGUUCAUACUUUGCAACUGAAAGAUGCAGACAAAUUAGAUCGAAUUCAGAGACCUGGAGCAUGUGACUUAUGAAGAGGCUGGGAGUGCUGAACAACUGCAGCAGGGGUAAAUCCAAGUUACUGUUCCACAUCCAAGUUCUCUACUUUAAUUCCUGUUUGACAUCUUCAGGUUACCCAAGAGGCAGUCUCAAAAUCUUUUGGAGGAACAACUGCCUUUGAUGUACUGAGAAAGCACUUAUUUUUUUCCAUAUUUAAUGCUGUCUGGUUCAGUUCCCUCGGAGUACAGUUUUAUGAAGAUAGAAAAGGUUAACUGUUGUAAGAUUAGCCUUUGCAGACUGUUUCAUUUCUAAUUAGCAUCAAAUAUGGGAAGUUGGUUGAAAAGAAGGGGAAGUUUCAGACUAGGGACAUCAUCUCUUCCCCUUGAUUUGAGACGGAGUGAGAGAGAUGAGCGUCCUGCCUAACAUCUUGAAGGCUCUGUGAAACUGGUGAAUGAGUGCUAAAUAUGCCUUUGCGUGGUUGAGCUCAUGCCAAGCCUCUGUACUGUGAAUGCAACCAAGUUCCCUUGGGCAGGCCAACAGCUGUAUGGCCUGAAUCCCGGUUUCCACUUCUCCACAGUUCCACAGAACACUGGCUGAAAGACAGCUGGAGCUUAAAACUCUUACAGAUAUUCAAAAUAUGGUACCUGCCCAGUAUCUUGUGCAGCUCCAUUUAAUGGAAAAAUAGCAUUCAGUAGAAGAAAUGUCAUGACUCCAAUCAACUAAAUAAGGUAACAGCACUAUGAUUUUUAAGGCCUACCAUUGACGUUGUUUUGUCUCUGCUCUGAAAUUUCUCAUUUCUAAUAUAUAAAUCUUUAAUUAGCUUACAUUCCAGGUUACAUAACAGCUGCCCCUUAAAAGACUGUAACCAGAGACUACGGUGACAAAAACUAUUGAUUGUACAUCUUAAAACAAUACUAUCAUCACUUCAGUUAGCUAGUUUUGCAGUAAGCUCUAUAUGAAGAUGAAACAUGAUGCAACUUAUGGUCCAUAUUGGGAGGGUGAGUGCUUAGACUGACCCUCUUCAAAAAGUCCUGUUAAGAGAGCCCUAACACAUGUCUUGAGAUCACCAUUAACUACACUUGCACAAUGAAUUAUAUGAUAAGCUCCAAAUUAGCUAUCACUACUCAGGAAAAAUAGCAUAGUCAUCACUACUGCAAAUCUCAGUGCCUCCAUUAGUAGGAAAUGCAGCAAUAGGAGUUUUUCAGAAAUGAAUAGUGAGCAUCACUAUUGUCAGUCCAGAAAUGCAUGGUCAACUACCUUUAAAACCUUGCAUGUAAUUUGAAUCAUCUUCCCUCAAGAACGGGGUGGCUGAACUAAUAAGAGGCAUGAGAAGGUCAGCAAGAAUGAUCAGAGGUACUGAAAAAGUACUACGCAAAGCAAUUCUCUACAGUCCAAGACUGUUCACCACCUUGGAGGACAGAUGCUUAGAGGAAGAGGAAUGGCACAUGAGAGGACUAUGAAGCUAAGGAAAUGGUUGAAGGGGUAAACACAAAGGACACCUACUUUCAGAAAAAAAGAUUCUGGAGCUCAGGUAAAUUAAUGAGCAGCAAAAUUUAAGCUAACAAAGGUACAUACUUUUCACACAAACAAUUAAGUCACGUCACUCUGUCAAAGAACGUAAUAGAGGCUGUAAGUAUAAUUAAUUCUGGCAUCAAGAUUAUACAGUUUCAGUAAGCUUCACAGUCUAAGGAAAUAGAUAUAUCUACAGAGAUAUACACACACGCAUAUGUAGGAAAGGAUAUUAGGUGUUUUCAGAUACACAAUACAUGACAAUUCUAUUUCAGAAGUUCUGAAAUUGCUGUAUAUUAGCAGCUCCCAUUUUAGAUUAGUUGAACAGACUGAGGUGACAAUUACACCAUUUAAUUAACUGAAAAUCUUAUUUUGAUGGAGAACAAGCAAGAAUUGGUGAGUGGAUUCUCAAUCUAGAUAAAUGUAAAUUUAUGCCUAACACUGAAAGUGUUAAUGACUUACUUGGAAUGACUUACCAAAUGAAACGGUACAGUCUAUCUCCUGGUGUAUUCAAUCCAGAUAAGAGCUAUGCUGGUUCAAAUAAAAGUUACUGGAACUGAUUUUACCA